GGACAGAUGGCCGAGUUGGUCUAAGGCGCCAGGUUAAGGCCCUGGUCUCUUCGGAGGCGUGGGUUCGAAUCCCACUCUGUUCA
This 83-nucleotide transfer RNA is filed under the name Blyttiomyces helicus. It matches the Rfam family "tRNA". Rfam says of the family: Transfer RNA (tRNA) molecules are approximately 80 nucleotides in length. Their secondary structure includes four short double-helical elements and three loops (D, anti-codon, and T loops). Further hydrogen bonds mediate the characteristic L-shaped molecular structure. tRNAs have two regions of fundamental functional importance: the anti-codon, which is responsible for specific mRNA codon recognition, and the 3' end, to which the tRNAs corresponding amino acid is attached (by aminoacyl-tRNA synthetases). tRNAs cope with the degeneracy of the genetic code in two manners: having more than one tRNA (with a specific anti-codon) for a particular amino acid; and 'wobble' base-pairing, i.e. permitting non-standard base-pairing at the 3rd anti-codon position. Lineage: Eukaryota; Fungi; Chytridiomycota; Chytridiomycetes. The record is from Rfam by way of RNAcentral.